RNAcentral lists this long non-coding RNA (540 nucleotides) under Setaria viridis. Its description in RNAcentral is "long non-coding RNA (SVIR_LNC001801)". The record is from RNAcentral. Lineage: Eukaryota; Viridiplantae; Streptophyta; Magnoliopsida; Poales; Poaceae.
UUGUUGUUGCUUUUAUGCAUUUGCACAGAAAUGCAAGUUUUUCAUCGCACAGAAAUGCGAAGCUAGACAACUUGUUGUUGUUUUUGAAAGCGUACAUGAUUGCUAGGUAGCGCAAGAGUCAUUGGGGGAAUUGUAUUUCAUUAAAUAGUGAAAAGUUUACAAGGAUCCACCUCAUUAAAAACCUUGCCUCUAGAAUGGAGCCCCCCUAGCAAGGAAAAGAGUGCGGUCCAUUUGCGAGAAAGUAAAUGCAAUAAAGGAAAUUUGGUGCCCUUGAUGUUGCUUAUAGUUUCACAAGUCGAAGGCGAUGCUAAACGUGAUGGAUAAGGGCAGUACUUGCGCAAGUUGUCCACAUUCCAAGUAUGUGGCAACUCCGCUCCAAGGUAGUCUGCGAGGUAGAAAGAUCCCGGCUUGUUGCUUUGAGUGACAACAUAUGGUCCUUCCCAAGUUUCCUUCAAUUUCCUGAGGUUCGCACAGUUUUUCUUCUUCUUGAUGAUGAUGUCUCCCACCUUGAUUUGUUUUUGGAUCACUUUCUUGUCCCUC